Molecule: ribosomal RNA, 492 nt
Filed under: uncultured bacterium
Lineage: Bacteria
Description: partial 16S ribosomal RNA
Rfam family: Bacterial small subunit ribosomal RNA
Source: RNAcentral
AGUGAACGCUGGCGGUAGGCCUAACACAUGCAAGUCGGACGGCAGCACAGUAAGAGCUUGCUCUUACGGGUGGCGAGUGGCGGACGGGUGAGGAAUACAUCGGAAUCUACUUUUUCGCGGGGGAUAACGUAGGGAAACUUACGCUAAUACCGCAUACGACCUACGGGUGAAAGCAGGGGAUCUUCGGACCUUGCGCGAUUGAAUGAGCCGAUGUCGGAUUAGCUAGUUGGCGGGGUAAAGGCCCACCAAGGCGACGAUCCGUAGCUGGUCUGAGAGGAUGAUCAGCCACACUGGAACUGAGACACGGUCCAGACUCCUACGGGAGGCAGCAGUGGGGAAUAUUGGACAAUGGGCGCAAGCCUGAUCCAGCCAUACCGCGUGGGUGAAGAAGGCCUUCGGGUUGUAAAGCCCUUUUGUUGGGAAAGAAAAGCAGCAGGUUAAUACCCCGCUGUUCUGACGGUACCCAAAGAAUAAGCACCGGCUAACUUCGUG